AUCUUGUAUAUGGUUUUCUCCCAGCUGGAACAUUAUGUGAUAAAGUGUAGUUGAUCAUGGAAUCCAGCUGGUAGGGAGGCUGAGUCAGGAGGAUGCAAAUUUUGAAGUAAACAUGAGCAAUUGAUUGAAACUCUGGCUUGAAAUUUAAUAAAAAAGAUCUAAGAGUAUAGAUCAGUAGAGUGUGUGUCUAGCAUGCAUGAAGCUCUGGAUGAAAUCUCCAGUAUCAUUAAAAAAAAUGUUGGUUUUAAAAGGAUACUCUACAUUUAAAAAUCGUCAUUAAGCUGUUCCAAUUCUAAAUAUAUGGACACUUGACAAAUAAUCUCAAAAUUAAAAGCAGAGAACUGAUAGAAAUACAGAUAUCUGACAAACUCCCAUUGUGUUAGGAAAAAAAUGUUUACUUAUGGGUAAGUCAAGCACAUACACAAACACACACACAAAGUUCAAUAGAGACAAAAAAGUCUAGGUAUAAAACCACAAUUGACAUAACUGUACCACUCCUUGGUAUAUAUCCAAAAGAUUUAAAAUCAGCAUAGUAUAAUGACACAGACACAUCAAGUUCACAACAGCAAAAUUCACAAUAAUCAAGCUAUGGAGCCAACUACGAUGUCCACCAACAGUAGAAUGGAAAAAAAGAAAUGUAUAUAUACACAAUGAAGUUUUAUUUGUUAACGAACAAAAAUGAAAAUAUAGUAUUUGUAAGAAAGUGGAUAAAACUUGAGACCAUUAUGUCAGGAAAUUUAAGUCAAACUCAAAAGAUCAGGGACAUAUGUUCUCAUAUGAAAAAUGCUCUUUUGUUUGUUGUUGUUGUUUUGUUUUUGUUUUUGUAUCUGGCUCAACCAGUAAGCCUCAUGCACAGCCCUUUUCAUUAUCUUUUCUUAAAAAUUUUGAGACAGGGUCUCUCUAAAUUGCAUAUGGUAUUCCUAUAUGGGUGCAGCCAGCUUGAACUUGCAAUCCUCGUACCUCAGCCUCCUCUGUAGCCAUUGGGAUUGCAUAGGGCACAGCACCAUGCCCAGCUGAAUUACUCAUUUAAUAAGAUUAUGUUGACCAGCCAGCACUGAAUCCAAUAGUUACUGAAUUUAUUCUGAAAUAUAUGUUGAGCAUUUUCUAGGGCCUAAAUUAUACCCUAAUAUAGCAUGUACACUGUCACAAUGAAAGCGUUUAUUAAACCAUGAAUAAAAAAGAUAUUUUAAUCCAAUAAAGUGUGUUCUUAACUGGGAACAGAAUGGCACACACAAUAAUAGGAGCUACUCUGAAGCCUGAAGCCCGAGGAUGCCAGUUUAAGGACAGUCUCAGCAAUUUGGGGAAAGUCUGUCUCAAAAUAAAAUAAAAAGUGUGAGAAUGAAACUCAGUAACAGAGUUAAAGGACACUCACAGAGUCCAAAGUCCAAAAACAAUGACAAACACCAGAAUAUCACCAAAAGAUUUAUUGUCAUUAUCAUGAAGCAAACUGGCAAUGCUGUCUCUGAGCGGAGAGCAGCAGCAUGUGGCACACACAGAGCAGCUUUAUAGCCCUCAAGAGGAAUUUCAUCAGCUACUUAGUAAUUAUAUCAUAAACUGGGGUGGUGUUGAUCUUUUAGCAGACUGUUUUGAGAAGGGCAGAAUUGCUACUUAUGCAGUAGAGGGGAGAAACAAAGAAUGUCCAUGCUCUUCGGCCCUUUUAAAUGCUUUCUUCACUCAAAUUACUCAAUACAGUUUCACUCUAUAGGUUCUUAAUCAAGAAAAUGAGAAUCCUUAUUCUCAUUCACAGCAAACAAUUCUAGAUUAAUUACUUCACAGCAAAAAAUUCUAGAUUAAUUCUAAGCACUGUAAAACACACUUAAUCAUGAUAGGCAAAUGACAGACAUUUCCUCUGCAUUUUAAGUUCAAAAAUAUUAAGCCUUAGGGUUUACGUACAGGAGAUGCACACCCUCAGACUGCGGGGACCAGAACCAGGACUAAGGCAGGCUUUUCCUGGAGUGGAGUGGAUGACUUGUUGAGGAGGGGGUCAUAGCAAGGAGUUGAAGCUCUCACCAAGG
Molecule: long non-coding RNA, 2015 nt
Filed under: Marmota monax (woodchuck)
Lineage: Eukaryota; Metazoa; Chordata; Mammalia; Rodentia; Sciuridae
Source: RNAcentral